UACGAAGGGGGCUAGCGUUGCUCGGAAUCACUGGGCGUAAAGGGCGCGUAGGCGGACUUUUAAGUCGGGGGUGAAAGCCCAGGGCUCAACCCUGGAAUUGCCUUCGAUACUGGGAGUCUUGAGUUCGGAGGAGGUUGGUGGAACUGCGAGUGUAGAGGUGAAAUUCGUAGAUAUUCGCAAGAACACCAGUGGCGAAGGCGGCCAACUGGUCCGAAACUGACGCUGAGGCGCGAAAGCGUGGGGAGCAAACAGG
This 253-nucleotide ribosomal RNA is filed under the name uncultured bacterium. RNAcentral describes it as "partial 16S ribosomal RNA". It matches the Rfam family "Bacterial small subunit ribosomal RNA", at positions 524 to 776 of the family's 1533-position model. The record is from RNAcentral.